GAUGAACGCUAGCGACAGGCCUAACACAUGCAAGUCGAGGGGCAUCGGGGCGUAGCAAUACGCUGCCGGCGACCGGCGGAUGGGUGAGUAACGCGUAUGCAACCUACCUUCAGCAGGGGGAUAGCCCGUUGAAAGACGGAUUAAUACCCCAUAACACAGGGGCUCCGCAUGGAGAUUAUUGUUAAAGGGAUGCUUCCUUCGGGGAGUAUUCCGGCUGCAGAUGGGCAUGCGUUCCAUUAGGUAGUUGGUUGAGGUAACGGCUCACCAAGCCUACGAUGGAUAGGGGAACUGAGAGGUUGGUCCCCCACACUGGUACUGAGACACGGACCAGACUCCUACGGGAGGCAGCAGUGAGGAAUCUUGGUCAAUGGACGGAAGUCUGAACCAGCCAUGUCGCGUGAAGGAGGACGGCCCUAAGGGUUGUAAACUUCUUUACUAUGCGACUAACUAGAUUUACGAGAUAAUUCUAUAGAAUGUAGCAUAGCAAAAAGCACCGGCUAACUCCG
RNAcentral lists this ribosomal RNA (506 nucleotides) under uncultured bacterium. Its description in RNAcentral is "bacterial SSU rRNA". It matches the Rfam family "Bacterial small subunit ribosomal RNA", at positions 28 to 505 of the family's 1533-position model. The record is from RNAcentral.